This is a long non-coding RNA of Eucalyptus grandis, 1281 nucleotides long. RefSeq lists it as uncharacterized. The transcript has 5 exons. Lineage: Eukaryota; Viridiplantae; Streptophyta; Magnoliopsida; Myrtales; Myrtaceae. The record is from RefSeq and is a predicted model, not a curated record.
UGCUAACUCUUCUAACAUGAAGAAUUGUCCGAAAUUGGGCUUAGCCAAGGAUCGACCCAUCAGCCCAAUCAUCGAUUUCAGUCUCCCAGUUGUGAACCAUCAUCGUCGAGAGCCACUCCAUCCACCCCCACGCACCACCGCCUUAACUUCGAUCGCACUCGCCACCACCGAAGUCGCUCACAUGUGACCGCCAAGGAACACCGUCCUUUGCACCGUGUCCUCGCACGGUCAAGCCAUAGCCUAUCCUAUUUGACAGGGCCAUCCUCGGCCUGACCCAUGCUGACGCGGCCGUCCCGCACAAUCGUUAAGUUCACUCCAGCUCCUCCGCUCUCCGCGAUGGGGCGGUGAUUGUACAAAGGACUCAAAACUUGCAUAUACAAUGAUCAAAGGGAUUUUUCGGAUGGACUUCAGAUCCAGGGGCUAUCUUAUUAGUUCCUUGCAGGAACAAAAAUCCCCAUCACUAAGAAUGGUUCCUUUGUAGUCAUUGAUGGCAAUCAGUGACCAGCAGUGGAUUAUGUCGUUGUGAACAUGGAUGGUUCAAGGCAUCAUCUACCUCUUACCUCAUUAUGUCACAAACUGCAGCCGAUUAAUGCUUCUCCUCACACAUGCCUUUAGGCACUUAUUGGUCAUGAACACCCCUGUUGGACUGCUCGAUGAGGGAAGAAAAUUCUUUCAUUAGGAAACUGUGUCCAUGCUGUUGACCUUUGCUUUUUCAAAAUGAAUUCCAGAGAUCAGUUUAUGCCAAGAUUUUCCUUAUUUUUUAUGGAAAAUGUGGAGGUAGCACAGACGGGAUGAGCAGCAGCAGCAGAGCCAUGCUGCAGUUUACAAGCCCAACACAAAUGCAAUGGAUGAUUGGGAGAUGUACCAGAUGGACAUUUUCUUGUAAUUUGUCUAAUGAGGAGGGGGAGAUCCACUUUUGUUCCAUGCGGCCAUCUUGUGUGUCAUCAGCGAUGUGCAUUAUCCAUGGAAUGGGAGGUUUCACCAAAAUGCUCUGUUGUAGGCUACCGAUCUCUAAUUCAGUCCGAAUUCUUGAGUAUAAUAGUGGUUUUGUUUCUGUUAGUCCGAGGGUGGAAAGUCGAAAUUGUUAGCUUUUCUUCCUUAAUAUAUCCUCGGAAAAGAGCAUGCCCAUCCUUUAAUGGAGAGUCCACAAUGGACUAGUGAUUAUUUCGUGUCAAUAACGAUGCUUCGUAGGUCUCUCCAACUGUGAAAACUGUGUUGUUUGAUAAAUUGAGCCUUGUUGUUGAGUUUGUCAGCUCGAGCUAGCUUUUAUUUUUGGUAUUA